AUUGAACGCUGGCGGCAGGCCUAACACAUGCAAGUCGAACGAGUGGCGGACGGGUGAGUAAUGUCUGGGAACCUGCCCGAUGGAGGGGGAUAACUACUGGAAACGGUAGCUAAUACCGCAUACCAUCGGAUGUGCCCAGCUGGGAUUAGCUAGUAGGUGGGGUAACGGGGCACCUAGGCGACGAUCCCUAGCUGGUCUGAGAGGAUGACCAGCCACACUGGAACUGAGACACGGUCCAGACUCCUACGGGAGGCAGCAGUGGGGAAUAUUGGGCAAUGGGCGAAAGCCUGAUGCAGCCAUGCCGCGUGUAUGAAGAAGGCCGUCGGGUUGUAAAGUACUUUCAGCGAGGAGGCGUUACUCGCAGAAGAAGCACCGGCUAACUCCGUGCCAGCAGCCGCGGUAAUAC
Molecule: ribosomal RNA, 406 nt
Filed under: uncultured bacterium
Lineage: Bacteria
Description: partial 16S ribosomal RNA
Rfam family: Bacterial small subunit ribosomal RNA
Source: RNAcentral